AUUGAACGCUGGCGGCAGGCCUAACACAUGCAAGUCGAACGAGUGGCGGACGGGUGAGUAAUGUAUGGGAAACUGCCUGAUGGAGGGGGAUAACUACUGGAAACGGUAGCUAAUCCCGCAUACCAUCGGAUGUGCCCAGAUGGGAUUAGCUAGUAGGUGGGGUAAAGGCUCACCUAGGCGAAGAUCCCUAGCUGGUCUGAGAGGAUGACCAGCCACACUGGAACUGAGACACGGUCCAGACUCCUACGGGAGGCAGCAGUGGGGAAGAUUGCACAAUGGGCGCAAGCCUGAUGGAGCCACGCCGCGUGUAUGAAGAAGGCUUUCGGGUUGUAAAGUACUUUUAGCGGGGAGGCGGUACCUGACCAAGAAGCACCGGCUAACUCCGUGCCAGCAGCCGCGGUAAUAC
RNAcentral lists this ribosomal RNA (406 nucleotides) under uncultured bacterium. RNAcentral describes it as "partial 16S ribosomal RNA". It matches the Rfam family "Bacterial small subunit ribosomal RNA", at positions 30 to 526 of the family's 1533-position model. The record is from RNAcentral.